GAUGAACGCUGGCGGCGUGCCUAAUACAUGCAAGUCGAGCGAACAGACGAGGAGCUUGCUCCUCUGAUGUUAGCGGCGGACGGGUGAGUAACACGUGGAUAACCUACCUAUAAGACUGGGAUAACUUCGGGAAACCGGAGCUAAUACCGGAUAACAUGUUGAACCGCAUGGUUCAACAGUGAAAGACGGUCUUGCUGUCACUUAUAGAUGGAUCCGCGCCGCAUUAGCUAGUUGGUAAGGUAACGGCUUACCAAGGCAACGAUGCGUAGCCGACCUGAGAGGGUGAUCGGCCACACUGGAACUGAGACACGGUCCAGACUCCUACGGGAGGCAGCAGUAGGGUAUCUUCCGCAAUGGGCGAAAGCCUGACGGAGCAACGCCGCGUGAGUGAAGAAGGUCUUCGGAUCGUAAAACUCUGUUAUUAGGGAAGAACAAAUGUGUAAGUAACUAUGCACGUCUUGACGGUACCUAAUCAGAAAGCCACGGCUAACUACGU
RNAcentral lists this ribosomal RNA (496 nucleotides) under uncultured bacterium. RNAcentral describes it as "partial 16S ribosomal RNA". It matches the Rfam family "Bacterial small subunit ribosomal RNA", at positions 28 to 506 of the family's 1533-position model. The record is from RNAcentral.